GUUCAGAGGGAGUCAGAAGAGAGAGGACUCCUCAGCAAUCUGGGAUGUGGUGCUUUCCUACAAGAAGCAGUGGGAUCUGUGCUCCUGCUCCGCUCCCAUUCCUUCUCACCUCGCUGCUGACAGUCGCUAUCUCAGCCUGGAGCCUUAUACAUUCUGUAGACUCUGGGGAUGAAACUAGACUCAUUUCCACCGGGUCCUGCUGGAAUUCUUUGAACCCUGAAGAACAGCAAUGAGGAGACAGAUAGCCAAGCUUUCCUUACCUGUGAGCAUGGAUCUGAAGAAAGGCACGAUAGCAGAUAAGAUGCGCUGACAGACGGGACGGCCCCGAUGGCAAAUUGCCCAUCAGGU
Molecule: long non-coding RNA, 348 nt
Organism: Myiozetetes cayanensis
Lineage: Eukaryota; Metazoa; Chordata; Aves; Passeriformes; Tyrannidae
Exons: 3
Source: RefSeq, a predicted model, not a curated record